Non-coding RNA from Cordylochernes scorpioides, 77 nucleotides. NCBI's taxonomy places the organism in Eukaryota, Metazoa, Arthropoda, Arachnida, Pseudoscorpiones, Chernetidae. The record is from the annotation of a GenBank genome assembly.
GUCCAGGAGCGGGAAUAGUGGACAUGGCACCUGCCCGGUAAGCAGAAGGUUGUGGGUUCGAUUCCCGCUCCUGGACA